RNAcentral lists this ribosomal RNA (468 nucleotides) under uncultured bacterium. RNAcentral describes it as "partial 16S ribosomal RNA". It matches the Rfam family "Bacterial small subunit ribosomal RNA", at positions 28 to 507 of the family's 1533-position model. The record is from RNAcentral.
GACGAACGCUGGCGGCGUGCUUAACACAUGCAAGUCGAACGGAAAGGCCCUGCUUUUGUGGGGUGCUCGAGUGGCGAACGGGUGAGUAACACGUGAGUAACCUGCCCUUGACUUGGGGAUAACUUCAGGAAACUGGGGCUAAUACCGGAUAGGAGCUCCUGCUGCAUGGUGGGGGUGGGAAAGUUUCGGCGGUGGGGGAUGGACUCGCGGCUUAUCAGCUUGUUGGUGGGGUAGUGGCUUACCAAGGCUUUGACGGGUAGCCGGCCUGAGAGGGUGACCGGCCACAUUGGGACUGAGAUACGGCCCAGACUCCUACGGGAGGCAGCAGUGGGGAAUAUUGCACAAUGGGCGGAAGCCUGAUGCAGCAACGCCGCGUGCGGGAUGACGGCCUUCGGGUUGUAAACCGCUUUCGCCUGUGACGAAGCGUGAGUGACGGUAAUGGGUAAAGAAGCACCGGCUAACUACGUG